This 253-nucleotide ribosomal RNA is filed under the name uncultured bacterium. RNAcentral's name for it is "partial 16S ribosomal RNA". It matches the Rfam family "Bacterial small subunit ribosomal RNA", at positions 524 to 776 of the family's 1533-position model. The record is from RNAcentral.
UACGGAGGGGGCAAGCGUUGUCCGGAUUUACUGGGCGUAAAGAGCGCGCAGGCGGUCGUUCAAGUCGCGUGUGAAAGCCCCCGGCUCAACUGGGGAGGGUCACGCGAUACUGAUCGACUCGAAGGCAGGAGAGGGUAGUGGAAUUCCCGGUGUAGUGGUGAAAUGCGUAGAGAUCGGAAAGAACACCAACGGCGAAAGCACUCUGCUGGGCCGACACUGACACUGAGAGACGAGAGCUAGGGGAGCGAAUGGG